Molecule: ribosomal RNA, 264 nt
Filed under: Trogoderma simplex
Lineage: Eukaryota; Metazoa; Arthropoda; Insecta; Coleoptera; Dermestidae
Description: partial 16S ribosomal RNA
Source: RNAcentral
AAAAGUUCUGUCUCUUUCUAAUUUUUUUGAAUUUUACUUUUAAGUUAAAAGGCUUAAAUUUUGUUAAAAGACGAGAAGACCCUAUAGAGUUUUAUUAUUUAAUUUUUAUUGAGUUUUGGUAAUAUAAUUCUUAAGAUGUAAAAUAAUUUGGUUGGGGUGAUUGGAAAAUUUAUUUAACUUUUCUUUUAUUUUUACAUUUAUUUAUGAUUGAUUGAUCCGUUAUUUACGAUUAUAAGAUUAAAUUACCUUAGGGAUAACAGCGUA